RNAcentral lists this ribosomal RNA (507 nucleotides) under Edmulmeatus grandis. RNAcentral describes it as "partial 16S ribosomal RNA". It matches the Rfam family "Bacterial large subunit ribosomal RNA", at positions 1826 to 2606 of the family's 2925-position model. Lineage: Eukaryota; Metazoa; Arthropoda; Insecta; Ephemeroptera; Baetidae. The record is from RNAcentral.
CAUCGCCUAUAGCUUAGUUUAUAGGUAAUGCCUGCCCAAUGAUAUAUUUAAUGGCCGCAGUAUUUUGACUGUGCAAAGGUAGCAUAAUCAUUUGUCUCCUAAUUAGAGGCUGGUAUGAAUGGCAACACGUGGGGUAAACUGUUUCAUUAGAAAACUUUUAACUUAAUCUUUAAGUCAAAAAGCUUAAAUAAAAUUGCAGGACGAGAAGACCCCGUAGAUCUUUAUAUUGAAUGUUUUUAUUAUAUUAGAAGAUUAUAAAUAAAAAUAUAUUAAUAUUUAAUUGGGGUGAUGUGAAGUCAUAAACACUUCUUUUUUAACAAAAAUACAAGGAUAUAUGACCCGGUACACCGAUUCAAAAUUUAAGUUACCUCGGGGAUAACAGCGUAAUCUGCCUUUAGAGUCCUUAUCAAAUGGUAGGUUUGCGACCUCGAUGUUGGAUUAAGAUACCGCCCAUGAGCAGCCCCAUGGGGCGGGGGUCUGUUCGACCUAUAAAUUCUUACAUGAUCU